CGCUGUCCCGUCCGCCGCCGGCUUCUGCGCUCCCCCCGCCGCCACCCUUCCGCCGAGAUAUGCCUGCCUUCUCUUCUACGCCUCGCGCCGGAUCUGGAUCCGGCGGAAAGCAGGGAGGGGCGGCGGAGCGGCCUCGCAGCGGCUCGCAAAAUAGAAGCCGCCGUCUCCCUCGCUCCAUCCCCCGCCGCCGCCGUCUUCCUUGCUCCAUCCCCCGCCACCCCCACCGCUCGACAAAGCUACCAUCCUCACUCCAUCCCCACCCUUCAGCGCUCGGCCGAAGUCGCCUCCCCUCGCUCUGUUCCACCACCGGCAUUCCAUCCCCAUCCACUCAUUGCAGCUCGAUUCCAUCUAGCCUAACGGCGGCGGCGGCAGACGUAGAGAGCACGUGGUAGUGCGCCUCGACGGCGGCGGUAGAGGACGGCUGGGCGGCACGCGACGCCAUGAGGCAGCUCGGGCCUCACCUAUGCCGGCGUCUACUCCAUGCCGCUCAGGUUGGAGAUCAAGUUGAGUCUUCCGUACAUUGCCAUGGCGUUGUCUCGCUGUUGAGGCGUCCGAAGCCUCCAUCCCGGCGCCCAACUGGAGUUCAAAGGGUGCCUUUUCCAAAGGAGAGGAAAGAAAAAGCAGUUGGGGGAGGAUUAGGGAGAAUUGAAUUCUAGGAGGGUUGGGGAAACCCUAGCCGCCGCCGGAAUUUGGGGGCCAAAUCCGGCGCCUGCCGGGCCAGACCUCCAGCAGCCUUCCCUCACCUCCAGCACUCCACCAAGGAAGGAAAGCUGGUGCAAGAUUUUUCAAGAAUCAAGGCUUCUCAGUUGCUCAGUUUUGGCAACUUUAGAUUACAUCAAGGUUACUCAGCUGGAACCGUACGGGGACAUCUUGAUCUCCAGGGGAAGCGUACUGGUGCUGCAAUGUUGCGAACAGUUUUGCUGCGGAGGUUCUUGCAGUGCCCACAUCCGUGUUAAUAUUAUACAGCAGUUACAUUUUGCACAAGAGGUCUUGUAGGUUAUAUUAUUAUUGCUUAUGCUGAAGAGAAGGAAAGGAAGCAAAGUUAUAAGGCAGUAGAUUUGUGCAGGAAUGUUCUAAGCUAUGUUGAUAGGAAGCUGUAGGCUGACCGCCCAAGGAAGUUACAGGAUUACGAGCUAGCCGGCGGUCGGCGACGAAGACCAACGUGCGAUGCGGAAGAGGCGAUUUGCGUCCGGGGUGUAUAGCCAGUUGUUCCGUGGGAUCUACAAGGAGCAACCUGUUGCUGUGAAAUUUAUCAGGCAGCCUGAUGAUGGUGAGGAUGAAGAGUUGUCUGCUCGGCUUGAGAAGCAGUUCACUGCAGAGGUUACCAUUCUGGCAAGGCUCCAGCAUCGAAAUGUCAUCAAGUUAUUCUUGCCUGCCUAUUCAUGGAUCAACAAUCCAAUAUGAACAUAUAUACUAGGACUUGCCCUUUUUUGCGGAAAGAUAGGACUUGCCCCUUUUUUUUAUGGUUGUUGGGUAGUAUGAGGCCCGCCUGAAAUAAUUAACAGGCGUCAACAUGCAUCAGCAUUACAUUGCAGAGUUUUGGCACAUAUUUAGGACUGCAAUCGUGUGGGCCAUAACUAU
Setaria italica (foxtail millet) is the source of this 1581-nucleotide long non-coding RNA. RefSeq lists it as uncharacterized. The record is from RefSeq and is a predicted model, not a curated record. NCBI's taxonomy places the organism in Eukaryota, Viridiplantae, Streptophyta, Magnoliopsida, Poales, Poaceae. The transcript is spliced from 4 exons.